This 492-nucleotide ribosomal RNA is filed under the name uncultured bacterium. Its description in RNAcentral is "partial 16S ribosomal RNA". It matches the Rfam family "Bacterial small subunit ribosomal RNA", at positions 29 to 507 of the family's 1533-position model. The record is from RNAcentral.
AGUGAACGCUGGCGGUAGGCCUAACACAUGCAAGUCGAACGGCAGCACAGUAAGAGCUUGCUCUUACGGGUGGCGAGUGGCGGACGGGUGAGGAAUACAUCGGAAUCUACUUUUUCGUGGGGGAUAACGUAGGGAAACUUACGCUAAUACCGCAUACGACCUACGGGUGAAAGCAGGGGAUCUUCGGACCUUGCGCGAUUGAAUGAGCCGAUGUCGGAUUAGCUAGUUGGCGGGGUAAAGGCCUACCAAGGCGACGAUCCGUAGCUGGUCUGAGAGGAUGAUCCGCCACACUGGAACUGAGACACGGUCCAGACUCCUACGGGAGGCAGCAGUGGGGAAUAUUGGACAAUGGGCGCAAGCCUGAUCCAGCCAUACCGCGUGGGUGAAGAAGGCCUUCGGGUUGUAAAGCCCUUUUGUUGGGAAAGAAAAGCAGCAGGUUAAUACCCCGCUGUUCUGACGGUACCCAAAGAAUAAGCACCGGCUAACUUCGUG